This 465-nucleotide ribosomal RNA is filed under the name Vreelandella stevensii. Its description in RNAcentral is "partial 16S ribosomal RNA". It matches the Rfam family "Bacterial small subunit ribosomal RNA", at positions 338 to 795 of the family's 1533-position model. Lineage: Bacteria; Pseudomonadati; Pseudomonadota; Gammaproteobacteria; Oceanospirillales; Halomonadaceae. The record is from RNAcentral.
CCUACAGGAGGCAGCAGUGGGGAAUAUUGGACAAUGGGGGGAACCCUGAUCCAGCCAUGCCGCGUGUGUGAAGAAGGCCCUCGGGUUGUAAAGCACUUUCAGUGAGGAAGAACGCCUGGUGGUUAAUACCCAUCAGGAAAGACAUCACUCACAGAAGAAGCACCGGCUAACUCCGUGCCAGCAGCCGCGGUAAUACGGAGGGUGCGAGCGUUAAUCGGAAUUACUGGGCGUAAAGCGCGCGUAGGUGGCUUGAUAAGCCGGGUGUGAAAGCCCCGGGCUCAACCUGGGAACGGCAUCCGGAACUGUCAAGCUAGAGUGCAGGAGAGGAAGGUAGAAUUCCCGGUGUAGCGGUGAAAUGCGUAGAGAUCGGGAGGAAUACCAGUGGCGAAGGCGGCCUUCUGGACUGACACUGACACUGAGGUGCGAAAGCGUGGGUAGCAAACAGGAUUAGAUACCCUGGUAGUC